UACGAAGGGGGCGAGCGUUGUUCGGAAUUACUGGGCGUAAAGGGCGCGCAGGCGGCCCUUGAAGUCAGGCGUGAAAGCCCCGGGCUCAACCUGGGAGGUGCGCUUGAUACUCGAGGGCUUGAGUGCGGGAGAGGAGAGUGGAAUUCCCAGUGUAGAGGUGAAAUUCGUAGAUAUCGGGAGGAACACCAGUGGCGAAGGCGGUUGCCUGGAGCUUUGCUGACGCUGAGGCGCGAAAGCGUGGGGAGCGAUCCGG
This 253-nucleotide ribosomal RNA is filed under the name uncultured bacterium. Its description in RNAcentral is "partial 16S ribosomal RNA". It matches the Rfam family "Bacterial small subunit ribosomal RNA", at positions 524 to 776 of the family's 1533-position model. The record is from RNAcentral.